RNAcentral lists this ribosomal RNA (246 nucleotides) under uncultured Pseudanabaenaceae cyanobacterium. RNAcentral's name for it is "partial 16S ribosomal RNA". It matches the Rfam family "Bacterial small subunit ribosomal RNA", at positions 439 to 700 of the family's 1533-position model. The record is from RNAcentral. Lineage: Bacteria; Bacillati; Cyanobacteriota; Cyanophyceae; Pseudanabaenales; Pseudanabaenaceae.
UCAGGGAAGAAGAUCUGACGGUACCUGACGAAUCAGCAUCGGCUAACUCCGUGCCAGCAGCCGCGGUAAUACGGAGGAUGCAAGCGUUAUCCGGAUUUAUUGGGCGUAAAGCGUCCGCAGGUGGUUGGGCAAGUCUGCUGUCAAAGCGCGGAGCUUAACUCCGUAAAGGCAGUGGAAACUGCACGACUAGAGUCUGGUAGGGGUAGCGGGAAUUCCCAGUGUAGCGGUGAAAUGCGUAGAUAUUGG